This 21-nucleotide non-coding RNA is filed under the name Caenorhabditis elegans. Lineage: Eukaryota; Metazoa; Nematoda; Chromadorea; Rhabditida; Rhabditidae. The record is from RNAcentral.
UUUUGUUUUUCUUUUGCCUCC